Long non-coding RNA from Pan troglodytes (chimpanzee), 1038 nucleotides. RefSeq lists it as uncharacterized. The record is from RefSeq and is a predicted model, not a curated record. Lineage: Eukaryota; Metazoa; Chordata; Mammalia; Primates; Hominidae. The transcript has 3 exons.
AUACUUUGUGUUUGUUGUGGAGUGAAUGCUGGAUUAAUCCCUUUUUUGAGUGUAACAGAUAGUCUCCUCUGCAUUUUUUGCUUAAUUAAAAUUGCCACUCUACUAUGGACUCAAUUAUGUCCACUAAAAAUGUAUAUGUUGAUGCUGUAAUCCCCAAAUGUGAUAGUAUUCAGAGAUAGAGCCUUUGGUAGCUGAGGUUGUAAGGGUGGGGCCCUAAUGAUGGGAUUGUUGCCCUUAUAAGAAGAGACACCAGAGAGCUUGAUCACUGUCUCCACCAUGUAAGGACAAUGAGAAGGCAGCCAGAUACAAUCCAGGAAGAGAAUCUGAUCCUGCUGGGCUUCUAACCUCCAGAGUUCAUCUUGGACUUCUAACCUCCAGAACUGUGCGGUGUUUCUCCCUGAAAGCAGUGCUUGAUACCAGCACGAACUCUGCGUCUUCAGAAGUCCCACUGGGUGUUCUGGUUUUACUUCUUCUGAGAAAACCAAAAGCACGAAAUUCUGAAGACUGGAGAUGAUUCAACAAGAAAUGGCAGUUAUAGAAAUCAAUGACUUGACUGAGGAUUAUCCAAGAAUGAGCCUUCCCAGUGCCAAGGGAUGAAGGCCUAAGAGAUUGAUCAUCACUGCUUCCAUGGGAAGAUUUUUUAUAAACAGGAGAAAUGAGGAAAGGAAAAUAGCUCCGAGCAGUCUGAAGUCUGCAAGGUGUGCAGGGCCAGAGAGACAUGAGUAUGUAUAUGAUGCCACACUAUGCCUAGGAAAAGUUUAGUCCUUGUGCCCCUGACUAGCUGCCUCGCCCAUUAUCUUCAUGUUCCUAGAAUUUGUAACACAAAGAACAAUGUACAACCUAUAAAUAGCUUAUGUUAUUUUAAUGUAAAUUUUUGGUAAACAACUCAGGAACUGCCUCUUCUUUCCCUUUACUUCCCUAAUUGUUUACAAGCAACACUUAUUACGUUGCUGAUUUGAGUGUAUAUUCAGGAUAAAUAGAAUCUAUGCUCCUGGGUUGCAGCCCUCGAGCUUGGUCCAAAUAAACUCUCUACUUACA